This is a long non-coding RNA of Photinus pyralis (common eastern firefly), 552 nucleotides long. RefSeq lists it as uncharacterized. Lineage: Eukaryota; Metazoa; Arthropoda; Insecta; Coleoptera; Lampyridae. The record is from RefSeq and is a predicted model, not a curated record. The transcript has 2 exons.
ACGCGCAAUUUUUGGAUUCCACAUUAUUGUCUGAAAGAGACACCAUAACUACUUCAAUAGCAAGGAGGAUAUUGUUGCGUUUUUUCUGGCUUAUCGAUCGACUGAUAUUACUGUCACAUUGUAAUUUCCAUUGACGAUUGUUACACGUUCAUCUAUAAUUGGCCCUCUUAUUUAAAGAGGUUUGUACAUUGGUUAUCAAUGAAAAUGGGUUGCCUUUGAUUUUCUUUAAGGGUUUUAAUUUCAAGUUCUAAUUUUGGAUUCAAGUUUUAAUUUUAAGUUCUAGUUUCAAGUUCAAGUUUACUGGUAAUUGUUACCAGUUGAACGAACCAGCUUGAGUCGGGAGACCUUUUCCCUACCAUUCGGUCGACGUACGACCUUUCCAUCUGCUGAUAAGAAGCCGCCAUUUGCUGAAAUUGGGUCACGGGGUCAUUCCCCAGAUUUAAUAUCAAGGAGUCGAUCGUUAACCAUGAAACAACUUCCGUAACUGUUUAGCGUAAUAAUUGAAUGUAAUUGAAUGUCUGGGCUAAUCCAAUUAAAAGUGAUCUGAUCAGG